RNAcentral lists this ribosomal RNA (492 nucleotides) under uncultured bacterium. Its description in RNAcentral is "partial 16S ribosomal RNA". It matches the Rfam family "Bacterial small subunit ribosomal RNA", at positions 30 to 507 of the family's 1533-position model. The record is from RNAcentral.
AUUGAACGCUGGCGGCAUGCUUUACACAUGCAAGUCGAACGGUAACAGGCCUUCGGGUGCUGACGAGUGGCGCACGGGUGAGUAAUGCAUCGGAACGUGCCCAGAGGUGGGGGAUAACGCAGCGAAAGCUGUGCUAAUACCGCAUGUGAUCUGAGGAUGAAAGCGGGGGACCAGGCAGCAAUGUUUGGCCUCGCGCCUUUGGAGCGGCCGAUGUCCGAUUAGGUAGUUGGUGGGGUAAAGGCCUACCAAGCCGACGAUCUGUAGCUGGUCUGAGAGGACGACCAGCCACACUGGGACUGAGACACGGCCCAGACUCCUACGGGAGGCAGCAGUGGGGAAUUUUGGACAAUGGGCGCAAGCCUGAUCCAGCAAUGCCGCGUGCGGGAAGAAGGCCUUCGGGUUGUAAACCGCUUUUGUACGGAACGAAAAGGCUCUGGCUAAUACCUGGGGCUGAUGACGGUACCGGAAGAAUAAGCACCGGCUAACUACGUG